AAACCAACUGAAAUUUAUAGCAGCCAUCCAGAUGUGUUCUCCCCCUCCCCCAAAAUUAAUGGAAGACAGGUUUUGGUUAAAGCCGAAAUAAAAGGAAACGUUAUUUCAUCCAACUAGAACAGGAUUCAUAUUUUCAAGAUGAAUCCCAUCACAACGGGGCCAGAGGAAAAAAAACAGAUCUACAAUGGAACCACAAAAUGGUGAAGCAAUUUUUCAUAAUGCCUGGAAGACUAGCAGGCUUUACAUCAGGAAAUUAAGAGAUGCCGCGCUGGUUCAACAUACUAAUAUACCAUGAAAACAAGGAUAUUCUCUCCAUUUGUAGAGAAUGAACGCACCUUGGGAUGUCGAGGCUACAGCAGGCAAGAUAAUUCUAAAAUUACCUCUGACCCCAGCCCAUCAUCUUCCCCUGAAGAGCAAGGUAAAGAUUCAGAAAUCAGAACACCCAUCCCUGAAGCAAAUAUACUGUGAAGAAUCUAAACUCUUGAGUAGUCACAUGGUUUAAAGUACAGAAGCACCUGGUCACCAAGCUUCAGGUUCUGCAGCAUCAGCUGUUGCCUUCAUAGUCUGACAACACCCACUGUCCACAGUAACCAAAGAACGGUCAGUUCAUUGAACUUCACAAAAGGUAAAGAGCUAUACAAUGAGCUUUCAGGAGAAUUGUUUACAUGGAUUUAUUUUGACUUUAAAAAGAAAAAUCAGAUGAAAAGGAGUUGAAAGAUUCUAUAAAAGGAAUUAAGCAAAAAGCUCCAAAUAUCUUCCCUAUCAAGGUCAAUACUGUGUAGAGCUGGAAGAACACAACAGGACAGAGGAACAGGAAAGUCGACGUUUUAGGUCAAGACCCUUCAUCUCUAUGAAGAUAUUUAAAGACUGCAGAUCAUUAAGAUCCUUGGGCACCAAAAGGAUGGGGGAAGGAAGAGAAAUGUGAAAGAGAUAGAUAAUCAGUUGUGACCUCAUUAAAGAAGCAGCCACAUAGCUUAUUUAAAUUCCUAUUUCUUACGAGUGUCAAAUACAGACAAAAAGUCAUGAGCAAAAUUUAACAAAAGACUAAUCUUGGUCAAUAGUUCCUCUUUGGCCUUGACAAAAUGUGUAUUAAAAUAUUCCUACAAUGUAGUUAAAAGUAAAUUCAACCAAAUUUAUUUUAGAAUGUUACAAAGUAUAAACAAGUAGCUAUAAUUACUCGAAGAUCAUAGUACUUAGUAAAAAGAACUUCUUACACAGGCAGGGAGUGUUAAGUACGGAAAAGUAAUUUCAACAACUGCCAAUAUUAGCAAUUUUAAAUUAGAAUACGACUGUCAAAAAAUGUAAACAGUUGGGUGAAGGAGGACUACGAUGGUUUAGUUCACUAAACAUACACACACGAAAAAUCAAAACUUUAACAGGUACUUUGACUCAACGGUCUCUCCCUCUCAAAAAAGGAGACAUUGAAUAGAUUGACAACUGAAACUUAACAACAUGGGAAAGGGCACGUGUGAAAAUGCAGCUUCACAUUCAAUAUAAACAGACAACCAAUCAGUCAAGUUCAUAUUAAAAAGCGGGUAUUACAUAUACUACUUUACUUUUUGCUGAGUUCAUCCAGCUCCGCUUUGCUCUUGCCCAGUUCGAUCUGCAGCUUCGCCUUUUCCCUAGCUGUCUCGUCAAGCAAUCUCCGAGUGUCGGCCAACUCCGUCUCAUACAUGGCCUUGAUGCCGGUCAGUUCACGGGUCGUCACCUCUUCCUUUUCGGAGAUCUUAAGUUGCAGAACGCUAUUCUCGCACUCCAAGGAGCGUACCUUGUCGAUGUAAACGGCCAGGCGGUCAUUGAGAUUCUUCAGCUCUUCUUUCUCCUGGAUUCGAGUGAUCCGAGUCGGGCUCAGAGGCGUUUGGGCCCCGCUGGCCCGGGUCUGUUUCUGAGCCGGAGUAGUUGACAUGGUUAAAACGCCUUGGUAUUUACCCGAUUAAUUAAAAAAAUACACUUUUACUGUUUCGUAAAAACCCGUGCUGCUAAACCCCUUUUAUUCAAUGAACUAGAAAAUGGCGCCGUUAUCAUGCGGCGCUCCUCCAGGGGUAUAGAUGACGGAAGGAAGUAGAUGCGCUGCAGGCCGGGAAUUGUAGUCCGAUUAAGCCGCCCUGUUUGACUCUUUGUCCGGAUGUUGAUGACUGGCUUCCAGAGCGACGCGUGAUGUUGCCUUGCUUCGUCUAAACCCACGAAUGUUCGUUGAUUGUCAGUUUUGCAUUUUCUGGACCCAGGAUUGAAGCCGGGUGGACUACAAAUCCCAGUGUGCCAUACACAAAGUCCAGAACCAGACUGGUACUCGCCCCCAGCAACGAUUGGCUCGUCUGCAGACAGUUAAUUGUCAAUCAUUUGUGCUGGCGCCCACCUCCACGGCCGUCCGCGCCCCAACGGAAAGCGCGGUUUUCAAAUUUUGGCGCGCGUCGACAAACCGCAACAGAUAUGAAGGAAUUGUCUCGGGAUUUAAGUGUAAUUUGAGAGAGGGGUGAGGUCAUUAUCUGAUCAAACGACUAAUCUUUUUUGAAAAACUAAACAUUAAGAAUCGCCAGCUUCAAUAUAUUGUAUUUCCCCUUUUUACUUAAAUAAUGAAGUAAUCCUCGUUGCCAAACAGCCCCUCUUUAAUAUAAUCCAGAGGCUGAAAUAGAAGGUUUUUAAAAUUUUCUUCUACAGGAAAUAUUCAAUUCGCCACCGAUUAGUUAUUUUCAGCUCACUCACUCACGUUCAGCUCCGUGAUAUGUAACGUAUCGCCUUUCGCAAAAUGUUGUUUUUUGUUUUGAUUAGCGUGCUAUGUACUGUAUACUGCCCACUAUAGCCUAUACAAUUAUAUUUGUUAGACACGAAGACAAAAGUAAAAUUAACCUGAGCCUGAGUUUCCAUAAUUGAAUUGCUCACACCUAAUAUACCUGUCUAAAUUAUCAAUUGGUUAAUGUAUUUGAUUUUUUAAAAUCUUAUUAAUAUGGAACAGAAAAACACUGAGAUAAUAAAAUAUGAGGCUGGAUGAACACAGCAGGCCCAGCAGCAUCUCAGGAGCACAAAAGCUGACGUUUCGGGCCUAGACCCUUCGUCAGAGAGGGGGAUGGGGAGAGGGAACUGGAAUAAAUAGGGAGAGAGGGGGAGGCGGACCGAAGAUGGAGAGAAAAGAAGAUAGGUGGAGAGAGUAUAGGUGGGGAGGGGAUAGGUCAGUCCUGGGAAG
Molecule: long non-coding RNA, 3181 nt
Organism: Stegostoma tigrinum
Lineage: Eukaryota; Metazoa; Chordata; Chondrichthyes; Orectolobiformes; Stegostomatidae
Exons: 3
Source: RefSeq, a predicted model, not a curated record